GGAAAUAUUAUACCCACUGUCAACAUCCGUUUUCAAACUGGUGAGACAAAAUUAAAAAGUGUUCUUCACGAUCUCCCUGGAAAUAAUUCACUCUAUCACUUUGUCCGCAUAUAAUAGGACAUUGUAAACAUGAAACUGCAAAUACGGACCAAAACAAAUCAAAUUUGAAAGCAUGGUUGAUCAUGUUUCAUGCCGACUGUAAGUUCGCUAAAAAGGGGGGUACGGCAUGAAUUUUGCAGCACGUCAAAGACGUCCAUGUACUAAAUCAUUAGAUUGUAAGACAUAUUCACUUUUUAAAACUGUUGACUACUUUAUACCUGGUCUAAUAUAAAUAAAUUCCCAUUUCAUCUGGGAACAAUAUAUAUGUCCCUGAUUUCAUAUAUCAUGUCAUAUGACAUAUGCCAGAUUUCAUGUCUUGGCAAGAAAAUGAAAAAAAAAAAAAAAUAUCUUCUUUGUCCAUCAACCUCAAAAGAAGUAGAAAGCUUAGGGUCCUAUUUUAAACAGGCAUUUUUAUCUAUAAAAAUUAAAUCUUUUAUGAACACAAAUUGAUACAAUUCAAAGGGAAAGCUAUUAUAGGCACUUGUUUCAGACAAUGGGGGUUCACUAUUACUCUUCUUUCCCAUAUAUAAAAAAACAAACCAGAUACAUGUAGCAUCCACAUUGUAAUUAACCAAUCUGACACCCAUUUGAGAGCUUACACAUACAUUUACAUGCCCAGAAACUAACUAAUUUCAGUGGUGAAACCAGAACUUUUCAUAAAGUGGGUGGGGGGGAGAGGUGUAUGGGACAGUCAUGCUUCAGUGAUUCCCUAUUUAAUCAACCAAAUAUUUUCCAACAAGGUCUCAAUAGUCAUGACAGUGGUUCCUGAAUUUAAAUUGAGAAAAAAAGUGGGUUGUGAGUGCCCCCAAAAUGUAUAUAAUUUUAGCUUGCAUUGUACAUGUUGUACAUGUUAUGAUAUUUAUGUACACUAUAAUAAUAUAAUUGAAUAUAAAAAUGUUAACGAAAGGAUUGUUAACACAUAAAUCUGCUCCAUGUUAUGAUGUUUAACAGUGUUAUACCUAAAAAAUAAUUUUUCAAGACUUGGAAAUAUUUUCUUUGCCCAUUGUUGCCUGUAACUAUUAUGUAUUGAGCAAAAUGCUGGAGGCAUAAUUAUUUAUCAUACUUAGUAAAAACAUGUAUUUUCUCGGUAAUUCAUAUGGCAAAUUUGUGUAAAUGUGUUGAUAAUAACAAUGCAAAGUUUGAUUUUGCUUUGAAUAUUUUAGUAUAUAAUUAAUUUAGUAAUUGUAUGUACAUUUGCUUUAUAUUUACAGGAUGGAGAAAGAUGUUCACUAUGAACAAAAAUUCAAACAUAGGACUUUUAUAUAUCAACAAAAAACACUUGUACAUGUGUAUGUGUGAUAUAUACAUACAACAAGAAAACAGGAAUCAAAUGGAAUGUCAACGACCAGUAAUGUUGAAAGCAAAAUGAUUUUAAUAGAAAACAAUAGGACUAGAAUAUAUUAAAGGUAAGUAAUCCAAAAGUGUCUGUUUAGAGUAGAAACAGUCGGUUAUUUACAGUGUGCUAUGAUUUCAAUCCCACAAACAUGAGACAAAAACAUAAUAAACAUGGUAUGCAGACUGUUUUCAUAAGGAAAUAGACUGAAAAUAUUUACAUUUAACAGUCAGACAUAUACAUGUAUUAUGUACUAAAUUAUUCAAGGCAAAACUAAUUUUGGUAUCAUUUUAGUCUCUUGUGGACAGUUGUCUCAUUGACAAUCAUACCACAUCUUCUUUUUUAUAUAUAAAAGUUGCCAAUUGAAUAAAUGGAGGAUGGAAAUUAAAAUUUAUGAGAUAUAGGUCAAGGAAUCAUACACAGACUUUAUGGUAUUCUUUUUAAUAGUUUAAAGAUUUUAUUCUGUUAUCUAUGCUGUAUAAAUGUAAAGAUAGUUACAUUUAAAUUUAAAACCAAAUUUCAAGAAUGAAGGGUACCAUAAUUUAAAUUUAAUUUAUGAUAAAAAAAAAAAACAAUAUAAGGGAAUUAACUCUUACAUGAUGUGCAUCAUAUCCAUGCAAAAUGAAGGGUUUUAAUAAAUCUGACCUUUUUUUAGAUAAGAGAACGACUUGAGCAGACUGUAUUGGGGUCAUAUAUGGCAAUAACAAUGAAAUACAAUAUAUUAUAAUUAUCAUUCUUCAUUACUUUUUGAUUGAAUUUACAAACUCAAUUUAAUAACAAAAUAUUUCAUUUUCAGUAGACAACACAUCCUGUCAGAGGAAUAAUUUUAAUGGAGGAUAAAAAUUUUGAUACCUGGAAUCAGCAGAAUCAUUUACAGAAUGGUAAUCAAGGUGGUUCAAGUGAUUAUAAGCAGACAUUUUUGUUGAACCAAUGCAGGAUUUAAUAAAUGAAAGUGUAACCGACUAUGGGCUCCAAAGUGUAGUAACAAGAGGAUUUUUUUAAAUAUGUGAGACUCAUCAACAUUAAAAUGUGCAAAAGUGAAAUGUCACCAUAUUUAUUAAAAAAAAUAAGAUUAUUGACUCA
RNAcentral lists this long non-coding RNA (2515 nucleotides) under Mytilus galloprovincialis (Mediterranean mussel). The record is from RNAcentral. Lineage: Eukaryota; Metazoa; Mollusca; Bivalvia; Mytilida; Mytilidae.